CAUUGACUGUAAUACUGUAUGACAAUACAACAUUCUGCUGCAGUGAUUCAUGCACUUCACACAACAGGGUGGAUCCCUGGUUUUCUGAUUUUGUUUCUCCAGCGAGCACAGUUGUUUAUAUUGUCAUGCCUGUUGCAUGUCCCAUUUGUGCUGGUCACUUUGAGGAAUUGUAAAUAUACUACACCACGGCACUAUGACAGGUGGCCAUUCAAUAACUCAAUGCAUCUUUCCCUCAUCACUGACAGUGAGAUACAGAUUCGAACUGUGACCCACUCCAACCUUGGAAGUAGAGAAAAGCAAGUGAAUUGUCUGCCUCAUGCCAUUAGACAAAGGAGGGGAGAACAAAGGAGGGAAGACAUGGACCUUUGAUGAAAAUAUCAUCGUUUUGGUUACAACACAAUGAUUUAGAACAGGUGCCAUUGGCAUGGUCAAAGGCUUGGCAAGGAAGAGGAUGUUACCUCCGCACAUGUCCUACGGUAUGCCUGAGGAGGAAGCCACAGAGGAUACACUGGCAAGGCUGCCACUUGCACAUUCCACCAGCUCAAAUACUGACUCAUGAAAACCACAAAGACAAAUGAACACCUUUGAACAAAUGAAAUUUGAACAGUAUUUUGAUCACCUUGGAGAAACCAUAAACAAAAGUAGCCAAUUUUAUCGAAUGAUUCCCAAAUGAAGAAAUGACGAACAAGAUUUUGCACUUUGUAUCUUUUAAAGGUUGUAAGGUUUCUGGCCUCCACUAGCUUCCCAGGCAGUUCAUUAUCACUCUCUGAGUAAAAAAGUUCUUUCUUAAAUCACCUCUGAAUCUCUGCCUCUUACCCUCAUGAUUGACCCCUUAUCUAAAAUUGAAAAAGUUCAGAUUAAUUUCAGAUUAGGCUUCUUAAGAAUUUAGCAACACCACAGUUGAUCAAA
Non-coding RNA from Chiloscyllium plagiosum (whitespotted bambooshark), 909 nucleotides. The record is from RefSeq and is a predicted model, not a curated record. Lineage: Eukaryota; Metazoa; Chordata; Chondrichthyes; Orectolobiformes; Hemiscylliidae.